This is a non-coding RNA of Paramormyrops kingsleyae, 707 nucleotides long. Lineage: Eukaryota; Metazoa; Chordata; Actinopteri; Osteoglossiformes; Mormyridae. The record is from RefSeq and is a predicted model, not a curated record.
ACUGGCUGGAAGGGUCAGACAGCAGGAUGGAGGAAGACGACUUCACUGCGUGACCCUGCCCCCCGACAGGCGCAGUACCUCAAACGCAAGCUUGCUGUCACUUUUCACAUCUGUGUGAGCAAUUAUCAGGGGGUGGCCUACAAAAACUCCGCUGAAUGAGAGCGACCCAGAGAAACAAAGCGGAUCGGCCCAGCAGCCGCAGUCCCUGCCCCAGAGCUCCCCGGUUCUAUCUGUCAUCGGGCCACACGGCUGCCAGACAGAACCAAAGCGGUGAGGGAUGAAGGAUAUGAGCCACUCGCCCGGCCCGGCCCGAACCCGGCUCCUGGAAUCCUCGAACGCGGGUCAGGAAGCGGCCUCCUCUUAGAGAAACAUUGCAUGAGCUCUGUGCCAUUCCACCGGGAUCUGGCCCCUCGGAGUAAUUAUCGCACUUGUAGCAGGAACGCUCGCGUGAAAACGGACCCCGCUCCACUCCAGAACCUGGCUGAUGAACGAUGCAGUCGUGCACCAUAAGAAGCUAAUUUUAGAAAGUGUAUUAUUUUAUGUUGUCUUUCAAAUAAUUAAGGGAUAUGCUAAUUAAAUCAUGUUCAAUCUGCGACUCCCAUAGAUGAGCACCUGGAAUUUUGCAUAAAAAGGAAAUUAUUCAAGCCCCUGCAUGCUGAUUCAUGUUCAUAAGCAAGACUGAGAGGUAAAAAUCUGUGCAAAUCACA